RNAcentral lists this ribosomal RNA (440 nucleotides) under uncultured bacterium. Its description in RNAcentral is "partial 16S ribosomal RNA". It matches the Rfam family "Bacterial small subunit ribosomal RNA", at positions 338 to 795 of the family's 1533-position model. The record is from RNAcentral.
CCUACGGGAGGCAGCAGUGGGGAAUAUUGCACAAUGGGGGGAACCCUGAUGCAGCGACGCCGCGUGAGUGAAGAAGUAUUUCGGUAUGUAAAGCUCUAUCAGCAGGGAAGAAAAUGACGGUACCUGACUAAGAAGCCCCGGCUAACUACGUGCCAGCAGCCGCGGUAAUACGUAGGGGGCAAGCGUUAUCCGGAUUUACUGGGUGUAAAGGGAGCGCAGACGGCUGUGCAAGUCUGGAGUGAAAGGCGGGGGCCCAACCCCCGGACUGCUCUGGAAACUGUAAAGCUGGAGUGCAGGAGAGGUAAGCGGAAUUCCUAGUGGAGCGGUGAAAUGCGGAGAUAUUAGGAGGAACACCAGGGGCGAAGGCGGCUUACUGGACUGCAACUGACGUUGAGGCUCGAAAGCGUGGGGAGCAAACAGGAUUAGAUACCCCUGUAGUA